AACGAACGCUGGCGGCAGGCCUAACACAUGCAAGUCGAACGCAUCCUUCGGGGUGAGUGGCAGACGGGUGAGUAACACGUGGGAACGUGCCUUUCGGUUCGGGAUAACCCAGGGAAACUUGGGCUAAUACCGGAUACGCCCUUUUUGGGGAAAGAUUUAUUGCCGGAAGAUCGGCCCGCGUCUGAUUAGCUAGUUGGUGAGGUAAUGGCUCACCAAGGCGACGAUCAGUAGCUGGUCUGAGAGGAUGAUCAGCCACACUGGGACUGAGACACGGCCCAGACUCCUACGGGAGGCAGCAGUGGGGAAUAUUGGACAAUGGGCGCAAGCCUGAUCCAGCCAUGCCGCGUGAGUGAUGAAGGCCCUAGGGUUGUAAAGCUCUUUCGGCGGGGACGAUAAUGACGGUACCCGCAGAAGAAGCCCCGGCUAACUUCGUGCCAGCCGCCGCAGUAAGAC
RNAcentral lists this ribosomal RNA (453 nucleotides) under uncultured bacterium. RNAcentral's name for it is "bacterial SSU rRNA". It matches the Rfam family "Bacterial small subunit ribosomal RNA", at positions 29 to 526 of the family's 1533-position model. The record is from RNAcentral.